Molecule: long non-coding RNA, 249 nt
Filed under: Hordeum vulgare
Lineage: Eukaryota; Viridiplantae; Streptophyta; Magnoliopsida; Poales; Poaceae
Description: long non-coding RNA (HVUL_LNC001664)
Source: RNAcentral
GGCGGCGCCCUCGCCCCUGCCGGUGCGAGCCCAAGCCGCUGGCGCCUCGCCGGCACCGGCCGAAUCCGGUGCCCCAGACAGGCGGCGCCCUCGCCCCUGCCGGUGCGAGCCCAAGCCGCUGGCGCCUCGGCGGCACCGGCCGAAUCCGGUGCCCCACCACGACCACCGUCCUCGUCCCUCUCGUCGGCCAUCGCCCUCGUCCCCCUCGUUGGUCGCCUCGCCUCCGAGCCGUUCCCGUCGUCCCUAACC